RNAcentral lists this long non-coding RNA (337 nucleotides) under Vigna radiata. RNAcentral describes it as "long non-coding RNA (VRAD_LNC011977)". The record is from RNAcentral. Lineage: Eukaryota; Viridiplantae; Streptophyta; Magnoliopsida; Fabales; Fabaceae.
AAAACCAUCAACUAAAAAAAUAAAAAUUAACGACAAUUCAAGUAAGAUUUUAUGCAUAUAUUCUAAUUAUGCGACUAAUAAUUUCAAGACUAAUAGCAUAAAUAAAUCCGAAAAAGAUUAUUCCUAUCAAUUAGACGUUGAACGUCUAUCACGCACAUGCCUCUGUCCUCUCCUAGUCGGGGAAUAUUUGUCAAUGCCAUCAUUAGCUUCUUGAAGCAAUUCCACCGCCAUCUGAUGUGCAACUGUACCUUCGGUCACAUGACGACACGAUAUCAACGCCUGUAACUUUCUCGCCAUUCGCCUAAACCUAGCCUGCAUUAUAUUUAUAUACAAAAAU